GAAUUAAGUUCCUUAAAAUUGGAAUGUAAAGACAAUCUUUGGUUUUUCCAAUUUUCUUUGGUAGUUCAUAUGAGGAAGUAAGUACUAUCUGCUUUCGCAGAGAUCUAUAUUUUAUUCACGUUCCGAAUGUGAAGCACAUUUUUCUUCUCUCAUAUAUCUUCUACUUCUUAUUAGUCACACUUUUACAACGAUUGUAAAACAUAGUUACUAAUACGGAAUCAAGCAUUCAAGUAGAAGAACCAACUGUUUUGAACUAUUUCAAGAACAAUUUACAACACCUUCGAAAGGUGUGUUCUUGACACUUGCAAGACAUUU
This 315-nucleotide long non-coding RNA is filed under the name Malus domestica (apple). Its description in RNAcentral is "long non-coding RNA (MDOM_LNC019453)". Lineage: Eukaryota; Viridiplantae; Streptophyta; Magnoliopsida; Rosales; Rosaceae. The record is from RNAcentral.